AGUGAACGCUGGCGGUAGGCCUAACACAUGCAAGUCGAACGGCAGCACAGUAAGAGCUUGCUCUUACGGGUGGCGAGUGGCGGACGGGUGAGGAAUACAUCGGAAUCUACUUUUUCGUGGGGGAUAACGUAGGGAAACUUACGCUAAUAUCGCAUACGACCUACGGGUGAAAGCAGGGGAUCUUCGGACCUUGCGCGAUUGAAUGAGCCGAUGUCGGAUUAGCUAGUUGGCGGGGUAAAGGCCCACCAAGGCGACGAUCCGUAGCUGGUCUGAGAGGAUGAUCAGCCACACUGGAACUGAGACACGGUCCAGACUCCUACGGGAGGCAGCAGUGGGGAAUAUUGGACAAUGGGCGCAAGCCUGAUCCAGCCAUACCGCGUGGGUGAGGAAGGCCUUCGGGUUGUAAAGCCCUUUUGUUGGGAAAGAAAAGCAGCAGGUUAAUACCCCGCUGUUCUGACGGUACCCAAAGAAUAAGCACCGGCUAACUUCGUG
Molecule: ribosomal RNA, 492 nt
Filed under: uncultured bacterium
Lineage: Bacteria
Description: partial 16S ribosomal RNA
Rfam family: Bacterial small subunit ribosomal RNA
Source: RNAcentral